Phodopus roborovskii (desert hamster) is the source of this 7793-nucleotide long non-coding RNA. RefSeq lists it as uncharacterized. Lineage: Eukaryota; Metazoa; Chordata; Mammalia; Rodentia; Cricetidae. The transcript is spliced from 3 exons. The record is from RefSeq and is a predicted model, not a curated record.
AUCAGCACUCGAAGGUGGGGCGGGACCUUUCGCGCCUCCGCCCCGGGGUUGGCGGACUGGAGAAGGAGCGAAGAUGGCGGAGUGAGGCGUUCCCCGGGCAGCUGGCCUCCGGGCCCGGGCGGGCCUCCCGCGAGAGGCGGAGUACUUCUGCUGCACCGUGUGAGGAAUCUUAGCACACAGGAUGAAUAUUUUCAUGACCUUAGGUGCUUUUAUAUUCAGCUCAGAAUUCAGAACUCAGGACUUGGCAAGAAUCUCUGUGCUGUCUUCUCAGUGGAGCACCCUGGUUCUUUCAUGCAGCUGCUUUCCUUGGUGAAAUGCAGAUGGCUUUCUACAGGCACUUCCAUGGUGUGGAAGGAAGAGACUCCUUUCCUUUACUUCACCUCAGAUCGGCACAGAGAAGCUGGAGGAUGCAGCUAUCUGCUGACUUCAGGAAGAAAAAAACCAACUGGCAAGGAUCUUCUGCUGCAAUUUGCUUCCUUAGAAAGACACCGUUUGCAAGUGAAAGGAAAAUGUUAAAGUGGAAACAGGUGCUUAGAUUGUGCAUUGAGAAUUCUUCCUUUUAAAAGCUGCAAACAACAAACUAUACAAAUACCACGUAUGGAUGACUUCAGGUUUUGUUUUGUUUUUUUAAGUCUGCCAAUUUUAACACUAUUAUAAGCACAGUUGACACUGCAAUGGUAAAUUCCAAAUAUUCGUUAUAAUUUGAGGUGAAAGAAACAUUAUCUAAAUCCUGGCUCACCCUUUGACAGAUUUCCUGGGCAAAAACAAAUCUUUAGUAUGAUAAAAGCAAAAGGCAAGAAAGAAUAUCAGUGUUGAUUUCACAUGAAAGUGAAACCAUUGCAGUUUGUGUGCAGAGUCACAUUUUUAUAUGGAUAACUCCACUUUUUUUGUUUUUUGUUUGAAUACGAUUUUUCUCUUGGAGAAGAAAGCUGUGGUUUUAUGAGGAGGCUUUGGACAGUUUGAUGGUCUUGAGUGUUUGGGUUUUGUCUCUAUUGCUUUGGGCUUUUUAUCCUCCUCAGGAAGGACCAGCUAGUCUAUAGCUAGUUGAUAGUGGGAAGAGAAUAUGCUGGGGUGAGUCUUGCCUUACACUGCCAGCACUUGGGAGACUGAGGCAGGAAGAUCAGAAGUUCAGGUUCAACUUGAGCCACAUGGUGAAACUAUCUCAAAAACAGCAGAAAAAAAAAAAAAAAGUAGCCCAGUAACACCACUCUUGUUUUUCUGUGUGUGUGUGUGUGUGUGUGUGUGUGUAAUAGAAUGUAGCACAUGAAACUUUGGUUUUCCUUGUGGCUGUGGCUGGAAAGUUGAAUAUGUUAUGUGAUGGACCCUAUAUCGUAACUUGCCUUCAACUUUGGACAUACAGGAGUGAAGGAAAAAAUAACUGGGCAUAUAAAUCCUUUUUUCUAAGUCAUCUGACUUUUCAGCAUUUUUACAUUAUGUACUUGCAUUUUUUAUAAAAGCAUAAAUAACUUUUCCUUCAUCCCAAGAUGGGUACUUGGACAUUUAUUUUUCUAGGUGAUAAUGUAAUGUAAGGACGAAAUUCUGGAACUCAGGUAAAUUUUCCCAGUUUGAAUUGAACUUCCUUACCAUAGAAUGGACCUCAGAAGCAAUGUUCCUAGUGCUGUGGUCAAUCAACCCUAUCUACUCUUGGAAGAAAUUCAGGAUCUGAACAAAACUUCAAAUAAGAAAAGUGGGUCCAAUAAGCAGUGUGGAUCUUGUUACCAGUUACUGUAUAUUUAAAUGAUAUUCAGGUUCGGAGGUGGGGAGACCUCAAGAUAGUUCCAAGAAAUGAUGCAUGUUCAUUUUUUUCCUUUAAUUAACAGUUACGAGGAACCAUUGUGAAAACCUCUCUUUGUUUCCAAAUCAAGAGAAGUCUAUUUUAUGUGAUGCCAGGCUUUUACAAGAGAGGGAACUGUUGUUUGCAAUGGUUUCCAGUAGAGAAGGAAUUUUAAGCUUGCUAGAUGAGUUAGGAGCAGGUGCUGUUGGAGCUGAUUUCUGGAACCGUUUCCCAGUGCUAUGAAUUUGAGUCAUAGAAAGGAUCAUAAUUUGGAAAUUUGAAUAUUCUAAUGCUUAGUCAGAUUGGGCAACAAAUUUAAAUUUAUACUAAAAGUUUUUUUUCAUGAAAUACUUAUAGUCUUUUAAUGAGAGCAAAUAAUGAUAAAACACUAGAAAAAUAAGGAAUUAAAUUUAACCUAAAUUGCUGGGCUUGAUAGCCCACACCUGUAACCACUGCAUUUUGGAGGCUGAGGCAGGAACAUUGGCCACAAGAUCAAGCCCAACCUGAAUGACAGACCCUGUCUCAAAAUGAAACAAAAAUAUGACCCAAAUUUUUCUCUUUAAGUACCCCAGCCAUUUAACAUUUUCAUUUAGAAGGCAGUGGAAGCCAAUUGGUGACCUGUUCCUGCACCUUACUUGGGCAACUUAAUGAGGUAAGGCUCUUGGGCAGGGCUGUCACCACCAAGGAGGUGUCACCUUUUGCUCCAAAUGCUUCAGGUUUGUAGCUUAAACCUUCAAGUGUUGAUUGCCCUUGGUCAAAGAUGCUCCUGUGUCUUGCAUUGUUAGCGCCAGAUGACAUUUCAUAGCCUGGGGACAUUCCAGCUGUAGUUGCCUGGUGUGUGGUACGUUUUCAUUUUAUAGUCUUGUUGGGUUUUCUUAAUAGCAGCAAAAACUACCAUUUUAGAGCUGUGCUUCCACAUGUAGCCACGCCUCCUCCCUUCUCUGCAAAAGCUGGCAGUUUUUCUUUUGAAGUUACUAAACAAAAACGGGAUAUGUGCAAUAUAAAUAUAUAUAUAUAUGUAUAUUUUAAUACUUGUGGACAAGUGUUACAAGUUGUUUAAGAACAACAAAAUCACCAAUGUCUUCCAUUUUGAGAUGUGUAUAGUUUUGUAAGCAGUAGUGCUUGGUAGCAUAUUGUAGUGCCAUGUUAGGGGUUAGUGCAUGAAUUUAGCAUAACUUUAAACUUCAGGAUGAAAUAUUGAUAAUAACAGUAGUGUAAAAAGAGUGGAAAAUCCUAGACCUUUACUUUUUGUGUAUGAAUCUGUGACAUCCUCCCUGGGGAUAGGCGAUAAAGGCCAAAACAACUAAUGUCUGAACAGAAAGUGGGUUCACAUUGAGAAACAUUGUGCUUGGGGAAAUGUUAGCCUUUCACAAGGUAGCUAGAAAUAGCUGCCUUUGUAGCUUUUCAGUCCUCAAAGCAAGGCCUCAUUUCAUGGUAUGUCUUGCCCUCUUAGUUUGAAACUAGCUUGUUCUUAUAUUGUCUUUGUAGUGUAUGUCUUGGGUUCAUUUUCCCUAUUUUAUGUCCAGAGAAUUAUUUUCUGUUUUGCAUGUCUGAGAUGCUAUGCUAAUUGCUUUGGAACAUUUAAUCUCUGGCCAUUUCCUUUCCUGUUUUCAGCACGAGUGCUAAUUGCACAACCUUUUUAGUAGUUUGGAGUCUCCUGUACUCUAGGCAUUUUUCUGCUUUCCUUAUGGAAAUAAAGUAGUUGCUUUGUUUUGAAAAAGAAAGUUUUAUGUAAAAUUAAAUUCCUACCUCUAAAAGCUGCCUAGGGAACUUGGAAGGAACAGUUUUAUGGAGUGUUGUGGAGUUUGGGGGUUUAUUUUUUUAUUUUUUUAUUUUUUUUUUUUUUUUUUUUUUUUUUGUUGUUGUUGUUGUUUUAAUUUUAGAAUUAGAGUCCUGCCAGGUGAGGUGGUGUAUACUGUAAUCAAAGCAUUUGGAAAGCUGAGGCAGGAAGAUCAGGGGUUCAAAGUUAUCCUUUGUUACAUAGUGAGCUGGAAGUCAACCUGAGCUACAUGAGAUCCUGUCUCCAAAAACCGAAAGGAGAGUCUAGGACUUAUUAAUAUGUAUUACAUUAGUAUGAUAGAAAAUGUAAAACUGUGUUUAAUGUGACUUUUCCCACACAAACUAGGCAGGGACCCAGCAAUAGAUCCCUGUAGGAUAUCAAGUAGGUGGUUAGCACCUGGGUGAAUCUGCUUCUGAAAAGCAUUUUAAGAAACAAAGGGAAAAAAAAACUUGAAAAAGUAAUGCAUAUAAAGUAGCACAGUAUAUAGGAAAAGAUAUUUCCUAUUGCAAAAAUUAAAAGCCAUAAAUGAACUAAAUAUGUUAAAGAGGUGGAAUUUAGUAGCAAUAACAGUUUCGCAUGUAUAGUAAAUUGUGUUCACAAAGUUGUAUGGUUGAGUGAUUACUAUUUGAGAUUGUGAGCCUCUGCAGUCUUUUACAGAGUCCACAAAAGGAAAAUACAUCCUAGGUUAAAAAGCAUUUAAACUAUGAAUGUAUAUGAAUAUAUCUGCGUGAAAAAUACCAACUUUCAUAUAUGUGUUAAAGACUAUUUUGUUUCCCCAGAGUUUACAGCUGUUAAAUCUUUCUAGUGCUUAACCUGGAAACAAAUGUACUUAUAUAUUCCCAGUGAAGCCAACAUGUAGGGGUCUUGCUUAAAUUGUUCUUAUUAAUAGUCAUUUAUUGUGUAGAAUAAUGUAUGCUUUGUAACUGUUGUUCAUUGGUUUCCUGGCUACUUUUUCAAAACGAAAAAUCUGUUUUUGUGUGUGAUUGGUGUGUCUGGGGGGUGGGGAAGGGAGCCUCAAGAACUUGCUGGCUUUUCCUUGUAUUUAGAUCAAGGAAGUUAGGAAUUAAAGGUAAACAAAAUGACUGGGCAGUACUGGGUCUGGGGGUUAUCUGUAUGUCUGAUCCAUGUAUAUGAUGAAGCUCAUUCCUUUCUUGAUCUGAGGAAUCACACAGCUCACAUCAGAAUAUCAGAGUAGGACUGGGGUGAGUCCUCGAUUCCCUUUACCUCAUGUCCAUUGUAGCCACUUGGACAUCUGAAAAGAUCUGGGUCUGUGCUCCUUUAUUUUCCCAGGGGGAAAAAAAAUAAGAGUAGUUUUGUAGAUCUCAGACUCUCUAAUGAGUUAUUUUAUUACAAACAUAAGGGUAGGGAAAAGGCUAUACUGAGUGUAGUUUAUAUUUAAAUGUCCUGUGAUGUCCAUGUUAGGGUUUGAGACAACCAAGCAAUAUUCAGACAUCUGCAUGAUCAUGGACACAUGACUAACUAACUUAUAUCAGAGAUUACCCUUAACAGCUGUGUUUAUGGUUCUAAGUGUAAAACUAUGCUACGAGAUUUUGUGGUUAAUUAGCAUUCAUUCUUCCUGUAAUCUCUUGUUUACUCUUUGUGUACCUGUGAUAUGCAAAAUAUGAAGAGACCCCCCCCCUAGCCUUCAGGAGUUUACAUUCUCAUGGUGCUGUAAGUGCAGGCAAACUGUCUCUAGUUUAUUUAGAACAUUGCUUUGCUAUUAAUUAUACCAUUUUGGAAGAGCCCCUUAGCCAAGAGUUUUAAAAUUCAGAGGGCUAUGCUAAAUUUCAGGGCAUUACUGUUUGAGUUUACAUUGUUGUAGCUCUGCUCCUUAACUUUCCCCAGGGAGCUGUUCAUUAAUGUGAAUCAGAAAAGAAACCAUUCUGCCUGUGUAUCCUCACCACCCAUACAGCUCUCAGUAAGUGGCCAAGGAAACUUACUGCUCCAUAGACAGUCACCUCAGUUCCUUUUUCCCAGGGCUUUAAAUUUAUUCUUUACCCUCAAAGGGCCAGGAUUUCUAGCUAAGUCUUUUAGAAUUAAAUAGAAGUUUUAAGUUUAACCUUUUUUAUAUGACUUGUUUCUGUUUUGAAGCAGCAUUGUAGUAGAUACAGUGUUCCUGACUGCAUCUCUUAGAAAUUUGACUGAAACAUUUAGUUGAAGUUUUGCAUGUAUCAUUGCUUUUUCCUACAGUUCUGAAUCAAAGGGUUUGCAUGUUUAUUAAAACCAGGCCUGGUUGAAAGUAUAAGCAAUAGUAGCAGGCCCAUAACUGACUCUAGAAUGCUAACAUUCUAAUGCAUGGUUGAAAUUUCUCAUUAUUAGGUAGUUACUAGUAAUUUUCUAUAUGCAUUUAUUAAUAAUGAAGCAAUAGAUAAACCAAUAGCUUGAUUUUUAUUGUUUGAAUUAGCUUUAUCUUCUAAUUAAAGAUUGUCUUCCAUUGAAAAAUGGGAAGUACAAGAUAAGCAAGGGGCAACCACAAGACAUUCAUACUGUUAGGAAUACAGCAAGCAGUGCUCACUCUGUUUCCUAGCUCUAUUUGUAACCAAGCAUGUUUGCAAAUAAAAGAUAAUCUAAGCAUGUUGAAUAAGCUGCUAUAAUCAGUGCAGGGUUUCAGAAGAGUUGAGAAAUAGCCUAAGUAGGGUCAUCUUAAUUCAGAAAUAAGUGUUCAGUUUUCAGAACAACUAGCUGCAGGGUUUGUUUGAUUAGUUUUAUGUAGACUAAGGUUGGGGUUUGUUAAAACUAUAGAUUAAGCCAGAUGCAUGCUCUGCAGUCCCUGAACAGGCAGAAGCCAGACUGGGUGCCAUAGCUAGACUUUUUCCACAGAUAACAAAUUAGUAUCUUGGAGAUGUGUGGCAAAGUGUGCACAUGCUCCGUUUUUCAGUGAUGGGGUAUCUGUUGCAGAGUUACAGAAAUUCUGCCGUUGCUGUUUUGAUUGUGCUUGUUGCUGUAUUUAUAACUGUUGAGCAAGAGUUUUACUUUAAAUGAGUCGGUCAAAAUGUGGAUCUUGCCUAAAACUUUUGAUUCCUGAUGAACAGAAAAAGUUUCUCUUCUUCCAAAAAAGACAUUUAUUUGGGUGAACAAACAUUGGUUUGUUAUACUAGUGAAGGGAGCAGAAGUAUAAUCUAGUGGCAGAGCAUUUACCUGAGAAAAUAGGUUCAGUUGCCAGCACUACCAAAAGGACCAUGGUUAGUAGAGUAAGAAUUUCUUACAAUUUCUUGACUUGGAAAUGAUCCAAGUAACAAAUAGCUUUGACAGUUAAUGAGAAGUAUUUAUAAUGUGUGAAAGACCUAAAGAAGAAUUCAAGUAAAACUGUUUCACUGGGUUUAAUUCAGUUUACAUGUCAUAUGAUGGGGAAAUAGUUUGAAAUUUAACUUUUGUUGUGGUGCUUUGCAAUGGAUGUCACCUAGAAUGCUAACUUCAUCGUUCAGAACUGAAUUAGAGUUGCCAGUGUGGUGUUUGCUUCCUGCCGAAAUCCAGGAAUUAAGGUUUGUGAUGUAUCCCAGAUACAAAUGAUCUUUGCCACUUUGUGAUAUUCUUCCAGCCAAUAAAGUGAACGGUCAUUCAUUCUUAGUCUACUAAAAUCAAUUAAAACAGGUCACACAGGAAAAUUAAAUGUAUAUAUGGUAGAGCUCAGACUUAUAAAUGCCUUUAAAGUCAGAAUAUAGUUGUGAUUACUGAUGAUUUUCAAAACAUUUGACACCUUUGGUAAUAGUGUGCUGUGUCUUUAAUUUAAAUGUGCUCCCCCACCCCUCUUGGGGCACAGCUCUUGAAAAACACUUAGGUCCUGGACCAGUCCUUAGUCCUGACAUCCCGUCCUAGGGAUCAGACCGGUGUUCUGUCAUCAAGUUUCCAGUCUUUAAACGUUUCUAGUCUGGGCAUUAACCUUCAACCCACCCAGCCCUAUAAUGAAAAGGAUUAAGAAUAUCCAAGCAAUCUACCUGACAGUGGUGCAGCUUCUGCCUUUGAAGCACAGGUGUUGCUGUUCGAUUGCUCUUCCAUGUACAGACCAUUGUGCCGUUGGUGUGUGAGGCUAUGUUACCAUGUACCUUCCAUUGCGCCAUUGGUGUGUGAGGCUAUGUUAAAAGCUGCACUGAGUGAAGCACUACAUAAGGCAGCUUCCUAAUCUAUGCAUCUUUGGGAGUUUUGAAAAAUGUGACUCUUUGGAAAAGGAACUGUUGUGAGAGUUUGGAACUGCACCUGUAUGUAUAUGUUUUUAGCAAUAAAGCAUGAGCUGAGAAUGCA